Molecule: transfer RNA, 72 nt
Filed under: Rattus norvegicus (Norway rat)
Lineage: Eukaryota; Metazoa; Chordata; Mammalia; Rodentia; Muridae
Rfam family: tRNA
About the family: Transfer RNA (tRNA) molecules are approximately 80 nucleotides in length.
Source: Rfam by way of RNAcentral
GGAGAUAUAGCUCAGCAGUUAAGAGCUCUGGCUUCUCUUCCAGAAGAUCAGGGUUCAAUUUCCUGAUUACCU